ACCCUCUCAGGGUCACUCCUGGAGAGUUUCCGGUACUCUGCCAGUCUCGACUAGAGGAGGGAGGGUCAAGCAGAGGCCUACCCAUUCUAUUCCUAGCUUGGGCAGUGGCUAGCGUGUGAAAGGCAAUCUGCUACAAGU
Molecule: small nucleolar RNA, 138 nt
Organism: Ornithorhynchus anatinus (platypus)
Lineage: Eukaryota; Metazoa; Chordata; Mammalia; Monotremata; Ornithorhynchidae
Source: RefSeq, a predicted model, not a curated record